This 237-nucleotide long non-coding RNA is filed under the name Manihot esculenta (cassava). RNAcentral describes it as "long non-coding RNA (MESC_LNC005345)". Lineage: Eukaryota; Viridiplantae; Streptophyta; Magnoliopsida; Malpighiales; Euphorbiaceae. The record is from RNAcentral.
AACUCCCGGUUCUCCUAAGAACACUCUUCCAAUAGGAGACACCUCUAGCAAUACCCAACGUACUCCUGAACUUCACACGCUUCCACUGCGCUACUCUGAUCCUUACUCUUCUUUUCUCUUCUCAUCUUCACUAACUGGCUUCUUCUCACUGCUAACCCAAACUAACUCUAACUCUCACAGGUAGUACCCGGAUUUCAGAUCUAUCUUGGAAAACAAACAGCUCCUACUAGCUGUCCC